GUGCCAGCCGCCGCGGUAAUACGGAGGGUGCAAGCGUUACUCGGAAUCACUGGGUGUAAAGGGCAUGUAGGUGGCUCUGUAAGUCGGACGUGAAAUCCCUUGGCUUAACCAAGGAACUGCAUCCGAUACUGCAUUGCUUGAGUGUAGGAGAGGAGAACGGAAUUCCCGGUGUAAGGGUGAAAUCUGUAGAGAUCGGGAGGAACACCAGUGGCGAAAGCGGCUUUCUGGUCUGCAACUGACACUGAAAUGCGAAAGCAAGGGGAGCAAACAGGAUUAGAUACCCUGGUAGUCCUUGCCGUAAACCAUGGGUACUAGGUGUUGGUCCCUUUGGGAUCGGUGCCGAAGUUAACACGUUAAGUGUCCCACCUGGGGAGUACGACCGCAAGGUUGAAACUCAAAGGAAUUGACGGGGGUCCGCACAAGCGGUGGUGCAUGUGGUUUAAUUCGAUGCUACGCGAAGAACCUUACCAGGGCUUGACAUGCUAGAAGUAGGAACCUGAAAGGGCGACUAUCUGUCAAGUCAGAAGCUAGCACAGGUACUGCAUGGCUGUCGUCAGCUCGUGCCGUGAGGUGUUGGGUUAAGUCCCGCAACGAGCGCAACCCUUAUUCAUAGUUGCUACUUAUUAGCUGAUUAUAUUAGCAGAUAAGGCACUCUAUGGAAACUGCUUCGAGAAACGAAGAAGAAGGUGGGGAUGACGUCAAGUCAGUAUGGCCCUUAUGCCCUGGGCUACACACGUGCAACAAUGGCUUGGACAAAGAGACGCCAGACCGAAAGGUGGAGCAAUCUCAAAAAACAAGCCUUAUUCAGAUUGAAGCUGCACUCGCCUC
This 828-nucleotide ribosomal RNA is filed under the name uncultured bacterium. Its description in RNAcentral is "bacterial SSU rRNA". It matches the Rfam family "Bacterial small subunit ribosomal RNA", at positions 505 to 1318 of the family's 1533-position model. The record is from RNAcentral.